Phragmites australis (common reed) is the source of this 554-nucleotide long non-coding RNA. RefSeq lists it as uncharacterized. The transcript has 2 exons. NCBI's taxonomy places the organism in Eukaryota, Viridiplantae, Streptophyta, Magnoliopsida, Poales, Poaceae. The record is from RefSeq and is a predicted model, not a curated record.
UGGUCCCACCAUUUGACCCGACAUGCGCGUAGCUGGUCAUUAGCUAAUGCUAACAAUGACAUAGUCCUGUUAACUAUGCUUCAAAAUAACAGGAGUCACGGUAAUUGGUUUCUUAUUAACCAAGGCAUACUUAACCAUUAUACUUGUUGAGUUACUUCAUUAACAACAAAUUUUCAAAUCAGGGUGCUUGGAGACUUCAGAGCAUACAACUUUUAAAUUCAACCCAAGUCAUUGCGCUACACGUGCACUGCAGAGCGUGCGAGGAUCGGUGAUCACAGGAUCUAUGGAUCUCCGUUUUAUUAACAGAUUUCUUGAGAAUAGAUGGGCGUACCUAGCAACCGUGGUUUGAGUGUGAUGGCUACAAGUACUAACAGUUCUUAGAAGACUACUAUAGCUAGACAUUAUUCACACAUGUUAAUGUGUCUAUCGGUUAUCAAGUUUUUAGUUUCAUUGUGAUGUUUGUGUUGUUUAAGUAAUUAUACCAAUGGAUACUGGCAGCUACCUUUCUCAUUAUGGUGUUUUUAUGUCUAUAAUAUAUCCUACUACCUUUCUCA